Molecule: long non-coding RNA, 1107 nt
Organism: Ziziphus jujuba (common jujube)
Lineage: Eukaryota; Viridiplantae; Streptophyta; Magnoliopsida; Rosales; Rhamnaceae
Exons: 2
Source: RefSeq, a predicted model, not a curated record
UGUCUUAGGACUUGCAUUUUUUCCUGGAAAAUCCCCACUUCAAUAAAGAGACACAUAGAAAAGCAAUUCCAGCAAUAAAAAAAUUCAAAAACGAGUAAACAUUUAAUAAAAGGUUUUGUUUUUAUUUGUAAUGUGGGUGGCCAGUGGUGGGGUCCAGUGACCCCACUAGGCCAAUUGGGUCAAGUCUCUAGAGACUCGAAGGCAAAGAGGGAAACUUCCAACCCAUUUAACAAUGUUAGAGACGUAUGCAAGUGGGAAACGUGUGGCAUGUAUCCCAUGUCCUCUUUUUUCUCUUUCUAGAAGUCCGACUAAAAUCUUCAUUUUUAACUCUCCAAAGCCAUCCCUUCCAGAUUUAUACCACAAAAAAAGUUAAAAAUAUAUAUAUAUAUAUCAUAUAAAUAUGCCAUCCCUUCUAGAGAAAGCGGCUUUGUUUCACUCUCAGCAUCUUAUAUAAUAUGAAUAAAAAGACCCUUGGGUCGUUGACUCUGUGCUUAGAAGCAGGGCAACCCUCUAUCGGCCUUGGGAGAUCUUUUGUUAGAGCUAAAACAGAUAUGGGUUUUUCCACAAAGAUUUCUCUGCUCCUUUUGUUCAGUUUAGUGCUUAUUUCUUCAUCAGAAAGAUCUUCAGCUGUACAAGCAAGGCCUUUAAACUUACACCCACAAAAAUACUCGAAUAUAAUUGAGUCAUUGGGAGUUGUAUGCAAGUGUUGCGAUGAAACUGGAGGUGAGUGCACGAGUUCAUGGACCAAGCCGUGCUCUAAGCUCCAAUGUUUUCCAUGGAAACAACAUUAAUUAGUGUUUUUUUUUUUUUUUUUAAGAUUUUGUGUAUAUAUAAUACAAAUAUAUAUAUAUAUAUAUAUAUAUAUAUAUAUAUAUAUAACGAUGGUUUUUUCUUCUGAAUUAUGUGCGAUCUAGUUACCCCUUUGGUUGAUUUUGUAUAGCAUUGGGGAUUUGUUGAGAUAUGGUUUCUAUUAUGUGCAAGAAGGAUUUUUCUUGGUACUUCUCUAAUUUUUAUUGGAUCUUCAUUAAUUAUAUUAAGAUAUCUGUAAGCUAAGUGAAAAAGUAGGUUUUGAAUGGAAUAUUUGUUUGCUUGAGUGUCAAUUUUCUA